This 477-nucleotide ribosomal RNA is filed under the name Triticum aestivum (bread wheat). RNAcentral's name for it is "partial small subunit ribosomal RNA". Lineage: Eukaryota; Viridiplantae; Streptophyta; Magnoliopsida; Poales; Poaceae. The record is from RNAcentral.
AUGGGGAAGAAGCACGGUCGGUCGCCGUUUCUGGAUGCUGUGAUCACUACUUCUAUCUCCUACACACAGCUCCAAGCUACCAACCCGAGCCUGUGCCAGCGCACGAGCACGUCCAUGACCAGUGCGCAGUCACAGUCCCUCAUUGCUGAGCGGAACUCUGCCUACUUGGAGUACACACGUCAGGAGACCAUGACGUGGCACGAGAGCCUUCAUGCAUACCAUCAGCAGAGGGAUCGCACGUUGCAACACUUCCUUGAGGAAAUGGCGGCCGGCAGGGUUCCUCAAUUGCAACCAGCACCAUCUCCUCCACCACAACCAGUGCUUCUUACUUUUGAAGGAGUUUCUGACACAGAACCCUGGCCCCUCGCCGGGAACUGGUGGAUCUACCGUUGGUGGUGGUGCUGGUCUUGGCAUCACUCCCGAGUCACGGAGCCCGGUCACUCCUAUCGACGGAGGCGGCGGCGGUCUUGGCGGUAG